Molecule: long non-coding RNA, 1444 nt
Organism: Myotis myotis
Lineage: Eukaryota; Metazoa; Chordata; Mammalia; Chiroptera; Vespertilionidae
Exons: 2
Source: RefSeq, a predicted model, not a curated record
UGCCUGUGGUUGGGUUGGACUCUAAGCAGAUGGGAGAGGAUGGAGGGGCAGAGAGCAGGCUUCCACGGAGAGCAUGUGCACAUCUGUACCUGAAGGCAAGUUAUUCAUCGUCUUGUUUCCUGUUUUCCUAUUUGUGUCUGGAGCCCUGGCCCACGUGCGAGACAACAGCUGCUGAGCUGCACUGAACUGAGGCCAGAGGCCAAGAACCGAAGAGCCUGGGAACCUCACCCUGCUUGGGACCUACUCUGUGGAGUCCGUGCGGCUGGGGCGUCCCUGGGCCCGGGGCAGCUGCAGGGGUGGGACUUCCUGCCCAAUGGAAAGAGGAGCCCAGGUUCAGCUGAGAACGUCAGCCGCCGCCCCCGCCGCCACCUCCCAGUGUCCUCCGCUCCGUCCAGGAAGACAAGAGGAAGAGGCAGGGUGCCAGCGGGACAGUGGGAAGUGGGGCCCACAACUAGUGUCUGCAGGGGGGCAGGACACUCACACUCUGCCCUCGCAGGCUCAGCACAAGUGGCCAUCAGCCACAAAGUCGGGGGCAGGUGGCUCCCGGGGCCCUGGAGAGAUGAGGCGCCCGAUCCAAGAAAACACCAGAGGAGCUAGGGCAAGAGGAGCAUGAGCAGAACUCAGCGCCCAGGAAGAGAGGCGUGAAGGGCUCAGGCUGGGUCCGAGGACCCAACUUCAGACAAUCUGCAGCUCUCCAGGGCAAGGCCUCGCAAAGUUCUUGUUUUUGUUUUAUUGGUUUCAUGGAGGAAGGAAGAGGGAGAGAUAGAAACAUCAAUUGCUGGAAACCAAGAUCAACAGUAAUUAAUAUAAAUGCGAUAAGUCCACCAGAAGGCUGAGUUUGGACUCCUUUGAUAUUCACAGGGUGAAUUUGCAUUUCAUUACCUAGGGCUGACUCAGUGGCCUAAAGCAAACUCCCCUCUAACCUGAUAAUCUUACUGUUUACUAAACAUUACCAUUGAUGUGUCUGUUUGCAUUCCUAAAAGGCACUUGUGUAUUCUAGUAAAUAAAAGCAGCUGGGAAAGGAGACUCAGUGGAACUUAACUACGACAGUUAAGCUUUUCCUUGGCUUCCCCCCAUAAUUUCAAAAUUAAUUUUUCUUGUCUUGUGUGUCAAUUUGCGCAUCAGCUCUUUCUCCAAGCCUUUGAACCCGCUGGCCGUGGCUUUUCACAAUCAAUGAUGAGAGAGAAUCACUGAUUGGCCAACUUCUACACACCCCCUACUGGGAUCGAGCUUGCAACCUGUGCACGUGCCCUUGACGGGAAUUGAAUCCAGGACUCUUCAGUCCACAGGCCAACACUUUAUCCACCGAGAAAAUCCAGCUAGGGCCCUCGGGAAGCUUUCCACCCUCUGUGUGUCCUGUCCCCAUUGGUCAGAGGCAAAUGUAAAUGAAAUGAUGUCUAAUAAAGCUGGUAGCGUCUUAAUAAAUGUCAGUUCCCUUCCCAGA